AUGAAUUAUGCUUAUGGAGAUGAACUUGCUAUAGUUCCUUAUGUUAAACAUGAAAUUGUUGCUAUUGCACCCACGCAUGACAGACCUAUUAUCUUUUUGAAUUCUCCCGACUACACUAUAUCGGAGAAGUAUGCACUUAUUAAGGAUUAUAUUGAUGGGUUGCCUUUUACCGUUGCACAUGAUGAUUUUGAUGAAUAUAAUAUGCAUGUGAUUGCUGCUCCUACUUGCAAUUAUUAUGAGAGAGGAACUAUAUCUCCACCUCUCUAUGUUUCCAAUAUGAUAAAAUUGCAAGAAACUGUUUAUACUAUGCAUUGGCCUUUACUUUGUGUGCAUGAAUUGUUCUUUUAUGAUACGUCGAUGCAUAGGAAGAGAGUUAGACUUCUUCAUUACAUGAUAUAUGUUACCUUGUGCUCACCACUAAAUUACAAAUCAUUGUUAAUUAAAAUUGGCUUUGAUAUACCUUGGGAUCCGGGUGGAUCCAUUACUUGA
This 489-nucleotide ribosomal RNA is filed under the name Triticum aestivum (bread wheat). Its description in RNAcentral is "partial small subunit ribosomal RNA". The record is from RNAcentral. Lineage: Eukaryota; Viridiplantae; Streptophyta; Magnoliopsida; Poales; Poaceae.